GCUCAGUGGUAGAGCGUCUGCCUUACAAGCAGGGGGUCACUGGUUCAAGUCCAGUACUGCCCA
Molecule: transfer RNA, 63 nt
Filed under: Desmarestia aculeata
Lineage: Eukaryota; Phaeophyceae; Desmarestiales; Desmarestiaceae
Description: tRNA-Val
Rfam family: tRNA
About the family: Transfer RNA (tRNA) molecules are approximately 80 nucleotides in length.
Source: RNAcentral